UAUUGCAACAUCUCCAAUCCAAAUUUUGAUAUCUAGACAAGUUCCAUAUAAUUCACCUCGUGUGUUAUUAGCUCUUGGUAUUGCCCAUCCAUAUUCCAUAUCAAUUGGCCAUUUCCACUUCUUAUAAAGAUCCUUAUACAUAAGAUUUAUUUCAGAACCAUGGUCAACUAAACCAACAAAUGGUUCUUCUAUAUCUUCUACUUUCACCAAUGCUUUAAUAGUUUCCCUUGCCUAAUGUUUUUGAGUAUAAUGGCUUGAAGCUUCCAUUUUCUUAUAACUAUAAUCUUCAAAACAUACUCGUUGAUUAUAUCUAUUCUUUUCAUUUGUUGAUUGCUUGUAACUAUUAUCAACCUCUUCUUCAUCUUUAUAUAAAUUUGCAUCAAUAACAUGACUCAUUCCAACUUUGCCCAUUAAUUACCUCUUUCGCUUAAUGCUGUCAAUGAUAAUAUCAUGAAAUUUCUUUUUUGUAAUUUCUAAAAUCUCUUUCAAUGUGAAUUCCACCUUAGCAUUUAAUAUACGUUCUUCCAACACCCCUUUUAAAUUUGUUACCACUUCAAUAUCAGAAAGUAGCUUACAAGUAAUUGAUUUACCAUUUUCUUUUGUCUCCUUUGUUUUUUGUUCCAAUGAUGCUGAAAUAUCCUUUAUAGGCAAUUCUUAUGAAGCCGCCUCACGAGCCUUGUCUC
Molecule: long non-coding RNA, 683 nt
Filed under: Physcomitrium patens
Lineage: Eukaryota; Viridiplantae; Streptophyta; Bryopsida; Funariales; Funariaceae
Description: long non-coding RNA (PPAT_LNC003587)
Source: RNAcentral